RNAcentral lists this ribosomal RNA (459 nucleotides) under uncultured bacterium. RNAcentral describes it as "partial 16S ribosomal RNA". It matches the Rfam family "Bacterial small subunit ribosomal RNA", at positions 338 to 795 of the family's 1533-position model. The record is from RNAcentral.
CCUACGGGUGGCAGCAGUGAGGAAUAUUUGUCAAUGGCCGAGAGGCUGAACCAGCCAAGUCGCGUGAGGGAUGACGGCCCUACGGGUUGUAAACCUCUUUUGUCGGGGAGCAAAGAGAGUCACGUGUGGCUCAUUGAGAGUACCCGGAGAAAAAUCAUCGGCUAACUCCGUGCCAGCAGCCGCGGGAAUCCGGAGGAUGCGAGCGUUAUCCGGAUGUGUGGGGUUUAAGGGGUGCGCAGGCGGAGGUGCAAGUCAGUGGUCAAAUUGCGGGGCUCAACCCCGUACUGCCGUUGAAACUGCAUCCCUUGAGUGCGCGAGAAGUAUGCGGAAUGCGUGGUGUAGCGGUGAAAUGCAUAGAUAUCACGCAGAACUCCGAUUGCGAAGGCAGCAUACCGGCGCGCAACUGACGCUCAUGCACGAAAGCGUGGGUAUCGAACAGGAUUAGAUACCCCGGUAGUC